Molecule: ribosomal RNA, 465 nt
Filed under: uncultured bacterium
Lineage: Bacteria
Description: partial 16S ribosomal RNA
Rfam family: Bacterial small subunit ribosomal RNA
Source: RNAcentral
CCUACGGGAGGCAGCAGUGGGGAAUAUUGCGCAAUGGGCGAAAGCCUGACGCAGCGACGCCGCGUGAGGGAUGAAGGUCCUCGGAUCGUAAACCUCCGUCAGCAGGGAAGAACGGUCACUGUGCUAUUCAGCAGUGAAUUGACGGUACCUGCAAGGGCAGCACCGGCUAACUCCGUGCCAGCAGCCGCGGUAAUACGGAGGGUGCGAGCGUUAAUCGGAAUUACUGGGCGUAAAGGUCGCGUAGGCGGUAUGUCAAGUCAAGGGUGAAAUCCCCGGGCUCAACGUGGGAACUGCCUUUGAAACUGGCAGACUGGAGUGUGGGAGAGGAUAGUGGAAUUCCAGGUGUAGGAGUGAAAUCCGUAGAUAUCAGGAGGAACAUCAGUGGCGAAGGCGACUAUCUGGCACAUAACUGACGCUGAGGAGCGAAAGCGUGGGUAGCAAACAGGAUUAGAUACCCGUGUAGUC